This 253-nucleotide ribosomal RNA is filed under the name uncultured bacterium. RNAcentral's name for it is "partial 16S ribosomal RNA". It matches the Rfam family "Bacterial small subunit ribosomal RNA", at positions 524 to 776 of the family's 1533-position model. The record is from RNAcentral.
AACGUAGGUACCGAGCGUUAUCCGGAUUUACUGGGCGUAAAGCGCGUGUAGGCGGUUCGGUAAGUCCGCUGUGAAAGUCGGGGGCUCAACCCUCGAAUGCCGGUGGAUACUGUCGGACUAGAGUGCGGAAGAGGCGAGUGGAAUUCCUGGUGUAGCGGUGAAAUGCGCAGAUAUCAGGAGGAACACCGAUUGCGAAGGCAGCUCGCUGGGACGUUACUGACGCUGAGACGCGAAAGCGUGGGGAGCAAACAGG